GACGAACGCUGGCGGCGUGCUUAACACAUGCAAGUCGAACGAGACGAUUGAAAGCUUGCUUUUGAGAGUCGAGUGGCAAACGGGUGAGUAACGCGUAGACAACCUGCCGUAAAGAUGGGGACAACAGUUCGAAAGGACUGCUAAUACCGAAUGUUGUAGAGUUUCCGCAUGGGAAUCCUACUAAAGGUGGCCUCUACUUGUAAGCUAUCGCUUUACGAUGGGUCUGCGUCUGAUUAGCUAGUUGGUGGGGUAACGGCCUACCAAGGCGACGAUCAGUAGCCGGUCUGAGAGGAUGAACGGCCACAUUGGAACUGAGACACGGUCCAG
This 327-nucleotide ribosomal RNA is filed under the name uncultured bacterium. Its description in RNAcentral is "bacterial SSU rRNA". It matches the Rfam family "Bacterial small subunit ribosomal RNA", at positions 28 to 334 of the family's 1533-position model. The record is from RNAcentral.